RNAcentral lists this ribosomal RNA (497 nucleotides) under uncultured bacterium. Its description in RNAcentral is "partial 16S ribosomal RNA". It matches the Rfam family "Bacterial small subunit ribosomal RNA", at positions 28 to 507 of the family's 1533-position model. The record is from RNAcentral.
GAUGAACGCUGGCGGCGUGCCUAAUACAUGCAAGUCGAGCGAACAGACGAGGAGCUUGCUCCUCUGACGUUAGCGGCGGACGGGUGAGUAACACGUGGAUAACCUACCUAUAAGACUGGGAUAACUUCGGGAAACCGGAGCUAAUACCGUAUAAUAUAUUGAACCGCAUGGUUCAAUAGUGAAAGACGGUUUUGCUGUCACUUAUAGAUGGAUCCGCGCCGCAUUAGCUAGUUGGUAAGGUAACGGCUUACCAAGGCAACGAUGCGUAGCCGACCUGAGAGGGUGAUAGGCCACACUGGAACGGAGACACGGUCCAGAGGCCUAAGGGAGGCAGCAGUAGGGAAUCUUCCGCAAUGGGCGAAAGCAUGACGGAGCAACGCCGCGUGAGUGAUGAAGGUCUUCGGAUCGUAAAACUCUGUUAUUAGGGAAGAACAAAUGUGUAAGUAACUAUGCACGUCUUGACGGUACCUAAUCAGAAAGCAACGGCUAACUACGUG